This 406-nucleotide ribosomal RNA is filed under the name uncultured bacterium. RNAcentral's name for it is "bacterial SSU rRNA". It matches the Rfam family "Bacterial small subunit ribosomal RNA", at positions 154 to 569 of the family's 1533-position model. The record is from RNAcentral.
AAACUGCCGGUAAUACCAGAUAACGUCGGAAGACCAAAGGUGUGAUUCCGCCUGGGGAUGAGCCCGCGUCCUAUCAGCUAGUUGGCAGGGUAAUGGCCUACCAAGGCGAUGACGGGUACUGGGUGUGAGAGCACGACCCAGCUCACUGGGACUGAGACACUGCCCAGACACCUACGGGUGGCUGCAGUCGAGAAUCUUCGGCAAUGGGCGAAAGCCUGACCGAGCGAUGCCGCGUGCGGGAUGAAGGCCUUCGGGUUGUAAACCGCUGUCAGGGGGGAGGAAAUACUGUGGGGUUCUCUUCACAGUUUGACUGAUCUCCAGAGGAAGGACGGGCUAAGUUCGCGCCAGCAGCCGCGGUAAGGCGAACCGUCCAAACGUUAUUCGGAAUCACUGGGCUUAAAGCGUG